Molecule: long non-coding RNA, 883 nt
Organism: Calidris pugnax (ruff)
Lineage: Eukaryota; Metazoa; Chordata; Aves; Charadriiformes; Scolopacidae
Exons: 3
Source: RefSeq, a predicted model, not a curated record
UUUAAGAGCUAAUUACUUGCCAGUCAAACAUUUCUUCAUGCUUGGCUUGGCCAGGUGGAGCAAGAGAGGACUGGGUAACCUUCUCUCUCCCUGUCACUUCCAGCUACGAGUCAGUCACCAAAAUCCUCAUGGGAUGUUUCACCAAACCCACUGGAGGAGUCACCAACAGGGCUAAUCAAAGUUUCUCUACUGGCCUGACUAAGCCAAUGGGCCCAAAUGGGGCCCUGGAUGGUUCAUCACUAGAAAGGACAAGCUGCAGUUCGUGACAAAGGGCUACCAGGACUGAUAAAAUCACCCAUUAGCCACCGUGGGACCCAUAAAGCCACCGUGACCCCAUGGACGCAGUUGUGUUGGCCCAGCAGGUGUCAUGCCCAGCCUUGGGCUGGUUCAGGCCACCCAGGGCUCCAAGAUGAGCGGUGCUUGGUAGCACAGCUGUGUAAUUUCCCAUCCUGGACGAGAGCUCAGGAAUACCAACAGCCCAGCCUUGGUGCCUCUUGACAUAGCCUCCUCACUCACCUGGCUUCACCAACAACCCCAGAGCAGGACGUUUUGGUGUUAGCAUCCCUACCCAAUCUCAAUGGGGCAGCUAGGGUUCAUCAGAGACCCUCACCAUCCAGUGGCUCAGCUCUUGCAGACACAAAGCGUUACUAUCACCUCCAGACCCACCUCAGACCCCACCGUGCCAUCAUGACGUCCCCAUGAGGUCCCAUCAGCCCCCACCGUACCAUCAUGAUGUCCCCCAAGCGCUUGGCUUCCAGCCCCGAAAGGAAGAGCACCCUGCCAAGAAUUUCUAUGGGCUGUGUCCGACAGAGUGAGCCGACACCUGAUUUGCCCUUACUUACAGCAGUGGGAACAAGCCCUGGGGCUAACGUGAAAGGAUGAU